UACGUAGGGUGCAGGCGUUAAUCGGAAUUACUGGGCGUAAAGCGUGCGCAGGCGGUCUUUUAAGUCAGAUGUGAAAUCCCCGGGCUUAACCUGGGAACUGCGUUUGAGACUGAAAGGCUAGAGUGUGGCAGAGGGGGGUGGAAUUCCACGUGUAGCAGUGAAAUGCGUAGAGAUGUGGAGGAACACCGAUGGCGAAGGCAGCCCCCUGGGCUAACACUGACGCUCAUGCACGAAAGCGUGGGGAGCAAACAGG
Molecule: ribosomal RNA, 253 nt
Filed under: uncultured bacterium
Lineage: Bacteria
Description: partial 16S ribosomal RNA
Rfam family: Bacterial small subunit ribosomal RNA
Source: RNAcentral